GAUGAACGCUGGCGGCGUGCCUAAUACAUGCAAGUCGAGCGAACGGACGAGGAGCUUGCUUCUCUGAUGUUAGCGGCGGACGGGUGAGUAACACGUGGAUAACCUACCUAUAAGACUGGGAUAACUUCGGGAAACCGGAGCUAAUACCGGAUAAUAUUUUGAACCGCAUGGUUCAAAAGUGAAAGACGGUCUUGCUGUCACUUAUAGAUGGAUCCGCGCUGCAUUAGCUAGUUGGUAAGGUAACGGCUUACCAAGGCAACGAUGCAUAGCCGACCUGAGAGGGUGAUCGGCCACACUGGAACUGAGACACGGUCCAGACUCCUACGGGAGGCAGCAGUAGGGAAUCUUCCGCAAUGGGCGAAAGCCUGACGGAGCAACGCCGCGUGAGUGAUGAAGGUCUUCGGAUCGUAAAACUCUGUUAUUAGGGAAGAACAUAUGUGUAAGUAACUGUGCACAUCUUGACGGUACCUAACCAGAAAGCCACGGCUAACUACGUGCCAGCAGCCGCGGUAAUACGUAGGUGGCAAGCGUUAUCCGGAAUUAUUGGGCGUAAAGCGCGCGUAGGCGGUUUUUUAGUCUGAUGUGAAAGCCCACGGCUCAACCGUGGAGGGUCAUUGGAAACUGGAAAACUUGAGUGCAGAAGAGGAAAGUGGAAUUCCAUGUGUAGCGGUGAAAUGCGCAGAGAUAUGGAGGAACACCAGUGGCGAAGGCGACUUUCUGGUCUGUAACUGACGCUGAUGUGCGAAAGCGUGGGGAUCAAACAGGAUUAGAUACCCUGGUAGUCCACGCCGUAAACGAUGAGUGCUAAGUGUUAGGGGGUUUCCGCCCCUUAGUGCUGCAGCUAACGCAUUAAGCACUCCGCCUGGGGAGUACGACCGCAAGGUUGAAACUCAAAGGAAUUGACGGGGACCCGCACAAGCGGUGGAGCAUGUGGUUUAAUUCGAAGCAACGCGAAGAACCUUACCAAAUCUUGACAUCCUUUGACAACUCUAGAGAUAGAGCUUUCCCCUUCGGGGGACAAAGUGACAGGUGGUGCAUGGUUGUCGUCAGCUCGUGUCGUGAGAUGUUGGGUUAAGUCCCGCAACGAGCGCAACCCUUAAGCUUAGUUGCCAUCAUUAAGUUGGGCACUCUAAGUUGACUGCCGGUGACAAACCGGAGGAAGGUGGGGAUGACGUCAAAUCAUCAUGCCCCUUAUGAUUUGGGCUACACACGUGCUACAAUGGACAAUACAAAGGGCAGCGAAACCGUGAGGUCAAGCAAAUCCCAUAAAGUUGUUCUCAGUUCGGAUUGUAGUCUGCAACUCGACUACAUGAAGCUGGAAUCGCUAGUAAUCGUAGAUCAGCAUGCUACGGUGAAUACGUUCCCGGGUCU
RNAcentral lists this ribosomal RNA (1371 nucleotides) under uncultured bacterium. RNAcentral describes it as "bacterial SSU rRNA". It matches the Rfam family "Bacterial small subunit ribosomal RNA", at positions 28 to 1381 of the family's 1533-position model. The record is from RNAcentral.